RNAcentral lists this non-coding RNA (19 nucleotides) under Arabidopsis thaliana (thale cress). The record is from RNAcentral. Lineage: Eukaryota; Viridiplantae; Streptophyta; Magnoliopsida; Brassicales; Brassicaceae.
CUAUGCCUGAAAACUAUUU